Homarus americanus (American lobster) is the source of this 1362-nucleotide long non-coding RNA. RefSeq lists it as uncharacterized. The record is from RefSeq and is a predicted model, not a curated record. The transcript is spliced from 3 exons. NCBI's taxonomy places the organism in Eukaryota, Metazoa, Arthropoda, Malacostraca, Decapoda, Nephropidae.
AGGCCCAGCAGCUGGUGACAGGUGGAGAGGCCCAGCAGCUGGUGACAAGGUGGAGAGGCCCAACAGCUGGUGACUGGGACAGGUGGAGAGGCCCAGCAGCUGGUGACAGGUGGAGAGGCCUAGCAGCUGGUGACAGGUGGAGAGGCCCAGCAGCUGGUGACAGGUGGAUAGGCCCAGCAGCUGGUGACAGGUGGAGAGGCCCAGCAGCUGGAGCAAGAACAGGAGGCUCAAGAGGUCCUCCGGAUCAUCCCUUCUACCCUGACCAGCACUGUGAUACGCGAGUGUACAGGUGCUCCAGGCGCUCUGUAGCUGCACCCUCAGGACCCCUCAGCUGCAACUGCUCCAGGAAGGUCCUCGCUCCGUGUGUGUCGACAAGAUGGGAGUACGAUGGAAGAGACUUCCUGGAGGAACCUGAAGGACAAGGCUGGAGGAGGCUUCUGCAGGACCAAUUUGAAGGACUCCUUAAGUCUGGGAUACGCUGUUGGAGGAUCCCUCUGGAAGGCCACACUCCAUGACCCUGCAAAAGCUUUGUAGGUCCUAGGGGCACCCAGCAUCUGCCCUGUAGGUCCCAGGGGUUUCUGUCACCUGUUAUGUAGGUCCCAAAGGCUGUCAGCACCUGUUAUGUAAGUACCAGGGCUUUCUAACACCAGCUGAGUAAAUUUCAGCUGCUUUUAACACAAUAUGUAGGUCCCAGGGUCUUCCAGCACCUGUUAUGUAGGUCCUAGGGUCUCCCAGCGCCUGGUAUGUAGAUCCUAGGGUCUCUCAGCACCUGGUAUGUAGGUCCCAGAGUCUCCCAGCACCUGGUAUGUAGGUCCCAGAGUCUCCAAGCACCUGGUAUGUAGGUCCCAGGGUCUCCCAGCACCUGUUAUGUAGGUCCUAGGGUCUCCCAGCACCUGGUAUGUAGGUCCCAGAGUCUCCAAGCACCUGGUAUGUAGGUCCCAGGGUCUCCCAGUACCUGUUAUGUAGGUCCUAGGGUCUCCCAGCACCUGUUAUGUAGGUCUUAAGAUCUCCCAGCACAUUUUAUCUAUUUCUCUGUGGCUUCCAGCACCUGUUGUGUAUAGGUUCCAAGGACUCUUAACAUCUGUUGUGUAACUCCCAGCCUACCAGCAUCUGUAUAUAAGGCCUCAGGAGUUCCUUACCCCUGGUAUGUAGGCUCCAGGGGCUUCCAACACCUGACAUAUAGGUCGGGGGGGCAGCACCCGUAUCUAAGGUUUCAGGGCUCCUAACACCUGUUGUGUAUAUAUAUUUAAAUAAAUGAGAAGUUCCCGAGUAGAACAUUCAUAUGGACGCGAAGACAUUGAUACGAUACAAACUUACAACUGACUUUACGUGUAUUUUACCUAUUAAAAUAUAUAAAAGAAA